This 214-nucleotide unclassified non-coding RNA is filed under the name Hevea brasiliensis (rubber tree). Lineage: Eukaryota; Viridiplantae; Streptophyta; Magnoliopsida; Malpighiales; Euphorbiaceae. The record is from RNAcentral.
UGGAAAAUACAUCAUAUAUACUUGGAUGCCUUAAAAGAAUAGAUCAGUUAUACAUCUUCUGAAGUGAAGAACAAGGUCUCCUAUAACUCCAGAAACUGAUUGAAUCAUGUGGUGGCCAAGCUAUUACUUUUGGUGGUGAUGCUUCAAAAGAAGAAGAUGUAGAAUUAAAUGAUGUAUACCGUCUAUACAGUUGUUACGUUCUUAAUUCAACCAG